UUUGGACAAGAUUUUCCUUUUUUUCUGAGGAAAAUGGGCUUUGCCAUCUUAGACUCUUCCAUAGUCUAUGAAGACUCACUGCCAUGGGUCACUCCCCCACAAGCCCAGCAUACAACUCUUAAUUCAACAUCUUUUUACUUUUCUAUUAGUGAAUUUAUCCCUUUUCAGGGCUCCCUAAAAGUGUUGUCUGUUAAAAAUUAGCAUCUCUCCUUUUGAGAACAGAACUGAGAACAUCACUUUUUAACCUAGAAUAAGAUAAUAAAAUAUUCUUUAUGUUAUUGUAAAAUUGCUAAUGUUCUUCCUACGGUGACAGCUGGAAUGUAACUAUUUUAGUGUCACCACAUCCACAUGUGUCUUUUCCUAACUCAGCUAAAUUCUGAAACUCUUUCCUUAAGUGACUUCUAUUUUAAAUGUUUGGUCCACAAAUUUUUUGCAUGUAAGCAAGUUUACACUAAGAAACAGCAUUGAUAACUAAUAAAAAAAU
This is a long non-coding RNA of Phyllostomus discolor (pale spear-nosed bat), 484 nucleotides long. RefSeq lists it as uncharacterized. NCBI's taxonomy places the organism in Eukaryota, Metazoa, Chordata, Mammalia, Chiroptera, Phyllostomidae. The transcript is spliced from 2 exons. The record is from RefSeq and is a predicted model, not a curated record.